UUGUAGAGUUGCUUGUAUAUAUAGAUUUUUCAGUUAUUGGUACUGAAAAAUACGGAUGAAAUUAAGACGCAGAACAAUAUCCAGUCGAGAAUAAGGUUAAAUCAGAUCAUAUUCAUAGUUGAUCAGAAGAGAAGGGGUGAUAAAAAUGGAGAGAGAAGAAGAUAAUAAAGAAGAUGGGACUGUAAAGAAGACGGCGGCAGAAAAUGGCUGUGACCUGAUUUUCCGGCGUGG
Molecule: long non-coding RNA, 231 nt
Filed under: Panax ginseng (ginseng)
Lineage: Eukaryota; Viridiplantae; Streptophyta; Magnoliopsida; Apiales; Araliaceae
Description: long non-coding RNA (PGIN_LNC000793)
Source: RNAcentral